Mugil cephalus (flathead mullet) is the source of this 457-nucleotide long non-coding RNA. RefSeq lists it as uncharacterized. Lineage: Eukaryota; Metazoa; Chordata; Actinopteri; Mugiliformes; Mugilidae. The transcript is spliced from 4 exons. The record is from RefSeq and is a predicted model, not a curated record.
CAGUUCAUUCAUUUCACUCUUGACAACUCACCACACCAAUCAGAUCCCCACGGCCAUACUCCCCCGCCAGCUCCUUCUUCCCAUCAUCCUUUGCAAUGACAGAGCGCAGUCGGCCACUGAGGACGAUGAAGAUUAUGAACAACUGACAGGAUGACAAGAGAACUGGAGCAGUGCAUAAAUAGUGUUAGGAGGAAUACCUGUAGACGGCACGGCCAGCCUCCACAGCCAUCCAGUCCAGGGCGAAGUCAAUCUGUCUCACAAACGGUGACACCCUUUUCACCACAGUGUGAGCUACGUUCAGCACAACCCGAGGCUCCUCGCGCAUCAUUCUGCAAAAAGUGGGCCUUGGAUAUGUAGAGGAAGGUGCAGUCUCGGUGCGCACGCACUGUGAAGAUGAGGGGCUCCCCCGUGAGGACGGCCAAAUGGCCCACCAACUCUCCUGGGUGGGUGACGAAGA